This 497-nucleotide ribosomal RNA is filed under the name uncultured bacterium. RNAcentral's name for it is "partial 16S ribosomal RNA". It matches the Rfam family "Bacterial small subunit ribosomal RNA", at positions 28 to 507 of the family's 1533-position model. The record is from RNAcentral.
GAUGAACGCUGGCGGCGUGCCUAAUACAUGCAAGUCGAGCGAACAGACGAGGAGCUUGCUCCUCUGACGUUAGCGGCGGACGGGUGAGUAACACGUGGAUAACCUACCUAUAAGACUGGGAUACCUUCGGGAAACCGGAGCUAAUACCGGAUAAUAUAUUGAACCGCAUGGUUCAAUAGUGAAAGACGGUUUUGCUGUCACUUAUAGAUGGAUCCGCGCCGCAUUAGCUAGUUGGUAAGGUAACGGCUUACCAAGGCGACGAUGCGUAGCCGACCUGAGAGGGUGAUCGGCCACACUGGAACUGAGACACGGUCCAGACUCCUACGGGAGGCAGCAGUAGGGAAUCUUCCGCAAUGGGCGAAAGCCUGACGGAACAACGCCGCGUGAGUGAUGAAGGUCUUCGGAUCGUAAAACUCUGUUAUUAGGGAAGAACAAAUGUGUAAGUAACUAUGCACGUCUUGACGGUACCUAAUCAGAAAGCCACGGCUAACUACGUG